UGGUGGAGUGAUUUGUCUGCUUAAUUGCGUUAACGAACGAGACCUCAACCUACUUACUAGACAUGCGAUUUCCCAUCGUGUGUUCUUCUUAGAGGGACUGUGCGGAGACAAACGCAAGGAAGUUUGAGGCAAUAACA
This 137-nucleotide ribosomal RNA is filed under the name uncultured eukaryote. RNAcentral's name for it is "partial 18S ribosomal RNA". It matches the Rfam family "Eukaryotic small subunit ribosomal RNA", at positions 1299 to 1458 of the family's 1831-position model. The record is from RNAcentral.